Molecule: long non-coding RNA, 366 nt
Organism: Syngnathus acus (greater pipefish)
Lineage: Eukaryota; Metazoa; Chordata; Actinopteri; Syngnathiformes; Syngnathidae
Exons: 3
Source: RefSeq, a predicted model, not a curated record
UUUCCAUUAGCCUUGAAUUGGAUGGAUUGACAUUGACGAGGGAAAAAGGGUAUUUGGACAUAGAGCAAUGUUUUUUUUUUUCUUAUCAAAACGCUUCCAAACACUACAUGCAAAAUCUAUUCCACUAUUACAGGACCUGGACAAUUUGCUGUGCUUGAUGGAGCAAAAUGAAUUCUGCUGUUUAGAAGAAGAUCCUGAAGGAGAACGUCCGGCCAUCAAUGUGUGCCCUCAAACUUAAGCGCUCUUGGAUCAUGCAGAGGGACAAAGAUCCAUCGCAAACCAGACCUCAAUCAGGCGUGGUAGUGUCUGAUCAUCUCCUGGGUCCACCAGCUCACAGGAUGGCAUAGGUGGAAAGCUUUCAAUGAG